RNAcentral lists this ribosomal RNA (488 nucleotides) under uncultured bacterium. RNAcentral describes it as "bacterial SSU rRNA". It matches the Rfam family "Bacterial small subunit ribosomal RNA", at positions 15 to 518 of the family's 1533-position model. The record is from RNAcentral.
GAUCUUGGUUCAGGAUGAACGCUGGCGGCACGCCUAACACAUGCAAGUCGAACGGAGUUAAGAGAGCUUGCUCUUUAAACUUAGUGGCGGACGGGUGAGUAACACGUGAGCAACCUGCCUUCAGAGAGGGAUAGCUUCUGGAAACGGAUGGUAAUACCUCGUAACAUAUUGGUACGGCAUCGUAUUAAUAUCAAAGAUUUAUCGCUGAAAGAUGGGCUCGCGUCUGAUUAGCUGGUUGGUGAGGUAACGGCCCACCAAGGCAACGAUCAGUAGCCGGACUGAGAGGUUGAACGGCCACAUUGGGACUGAGACACGGCCCAGACUCCUACGGGAGGCAGCAGUGGGGAAUAUUGCACAAUGGGCGCAAGCCUGAUGCAAGCGAUGCCGCGUGAGGGAAGAAGGCAUUUUUGUUGUAAACCUCUGUUAUCAGGGACGAUAAUGACGGUACCUGAGGAGGAAGCUCCGGCUAACUACGUGCCAGCCGCUGC